This is a ribosomal RNA of Chlorocebus sabaeus (green monkey), 121 nucleotides long. NCBI's taxonomy places the organism in Eukaryota, Metazoa, Chordata, Mammalia, Primates, Cercopithecidae. The record is from Ensembl.
AUCUACGGCCAUACCACCCUGAACGCACCUGAUCUCCUCUGAUCUCGGAAGCUAAGCAGGGUCGGGCCUGGUUAGUACUUGGACGGGAAAAAUACACAUAUUAGGCUGGAUAUGGUGGCUC